UACGUAGGCAGCAAGCGUUGUUCGGAAUCACUGGGCGUAAAGCGUGUGUAGGCGGUCUUAUAAGUCGGAUGUGAAAGCCCCGGGCUCAACCCGGGAAGUGCACCCGAUACUGUAGGACUAGAGUACUGGAGAGGUUGGUGGAAUUCUCGGUGUAGAGGUGAAAUUCGUAGAUAUCGAGAGGAACACCGGUGGCGAAGGCGGCCAACUGGACAGAUACUGACGCUGAGACACGAAAGCGUGGGGAGCAAACAGG
This 253-nucleotide ribosomal RNA is filed under the name uncultured bacterium. Its description in RNAcentral is "partial 16S ribosomal RNA". It matches the Rfam family "Bacterial small subunit ribosomal RNA", at positions 524 to 776 of the family's 1533-position model. The record is from RNAcentral.